Long non-coding RNA from Anarrhichthys ocellatus (wolf-eel), 547 nucleotides. RefSeq lists it as uncharacterized. NCBI's taxonomy places the organism in Eukaryota, Metazoa, Chordata, Actinopteri, Perciformes, Anarhichadidae. The transcript is spliced from 3 exons. The record is from RefSeq and is a predicted model, not a curated record.
AGGGAGUGUACCACGAUACUGAGCCAAAACACUGACAGAUUGACAGCUACAAUUAAGAAUAUGCUUUGUUUUGUCUUCAUGGCAGGGUUGAAUAAAAGACAUCUAUGACUUACGUCAUUAGCCUUCAUUCAGUUUCAAUAUAUAGGCCUUAAUAGAUGUGGAGUGUCACAUAAGGAGAAAGGUUUGCAAUAUCACAGAUGUGAACUGGACUGAAUUAUAAGACACUGAAAUAGUUUAAAACAUUGAAAGCAGAAAGAGAGGGGGAAUUUAUAACUUUUCAUCUUAUUUCUCAUCCUUUUGGAUUCAGAGUAAAAAACGAAAUGGAUGUUGGACGGAUAGUAUCGAUUUUCCUGAUACUGAUAGCCACACCUACGACUGCAGCAACUACAACAGCCGCAGCUACGACUGCUGAACCUACAACAACAGUUGCACCUACAACAGCAGCACCUACAACAACAGCUGCACCUACAACAGCCGCACCUACGACUCAUGCACCUACAACAACUGCUGCCCCAACAACAACUGCUGCCCCAACAACAACAACUGC